Molecule: unclassified non-coding RNA, 240 nt
Filed under: soil metagenome
Description: partial contains 5.8S ribosomal RNA, internal transcribed spacer 2, and large subunit ribosomal RNA
Source: RNAcentral
AACCUUAUGGACCUGCGGGCGUAUACCUGCGGAAGGAUCAUUAAAAAGAGUGUGUACCCCUCUGUAAAAUGAGUGGGUUACCUCCCGUCCUUUGUUGACCUCUUAGGAGGUUAUUUUGAACUUUCUGCUUCGGUGGGGUUAAACCUACCGGAACACCCUCAAAUUCUUAUCAUUUAAAAAUUGUUCAGUCUGAUUUUUGUUAAUAAAAACAAAAAACUUUUAACAAUGGAUCUCAGAUCG